GGGGGCAUAGCUCAGUGGCAGAGCGCGUGCUUAGCAUGCAAGAGGCCCUGGGUCCGAUGCCCAGUGCCUCCA
RNAcentral lists this transfer RNA (72 nucleotides) under Dasypus novemcinctus (nine-banded armadillo). RNAcentral describes it as "tRNA-Ala (AGC) (tRNA-Ala-AGC-12-1)". It matches the Rfam family "tRNA". Rfam says of the family: Transfer RNA (tRNA) molecules are approximately 80 nucleotides in length. Their secondary structure includes four short double-helical elements and three loops (D, anti-codon, and T loops). Further hydrogen bonds mediate the characteristic L-shaped molecular structure. tRNAs have two regions of fundamental functional importance: the anti-codon, which is responsible for specific mRNA codon recognition, and the 3' end, to which the tRNAs corresponding amino acid is attached (by aminoacyl-tRNA synthetases). tRNAs cope with the degeneracy of the genetic code in two manners: having more than one tRNA (with a specific anti-codon) for a particular amino acid; and 'wobble' base-pairing, i.e. permitting non-standard base-pairing at the 3rd anti-codon position. Lineage: Eukaryota; Metazoa; Chordata; Mammalia; Cingulata; Dasypodidae. The record is from RNAcentral.